GCAUAUCAAUAAGCGGAGGAAAAGAAACUAACAAGGAUUCCCCUAGUAACGGCGAGUGAAGCGGGAAGAGCUCAAAUUUAAAAUCUGGCGGCCUCAGGUCGUCCGAGUUGUAGUCUAGAGAAGUGUUUUCCGCGCCGGACCACGUACAAGUCCCUUGGAACAGGGCGUCAUAGAGGGUGAGAAUCCCGUACUUGACGUGGACCCCCGGUGCUUUGUGAUACGCUCUCCAAGAGUCGAGUUGUUUGGGAAUGCAGCUCAAAACGGGUGGUAAAUUCCAUCUAAAGCUAAAUAUUGGCGAGAGACCGAUAGCGAACAAGUACCGUGAGGGAAAGAUGAAAAGCACUUUGGAAAGAGAGAGUUAAACAGUACGUGAAAUUGUUAAAAAGGGAAACGAUUGAAGUCAGUCAUGCCCGGCAAGACUCAGCCUCGCUUCUGCGUGGUGCACUUCUUGUUGGGCGGGCCAGCAUCAGUUUUGACCGGCGGAAAAGGGUAAGAGGAACGUGGCUCCCUCGGGAGUGUUAUAGCCUUUUGCCGUAUACGCCGGUUGGGACUGAGGAACGCAGCGUGCCUUUUGGCGGGUCUUCGGACACCCACACGCCUAGGAUGCUGGCAUAAUGGCUUUAAACGACCCGUCUUGAAACACGGAC
RNAcentral lists this ribosomal RNA (647 nucleotides) under uncultured fungus. Its description in RNAcentral is "eukaryotic LSU rRNA". It matches the Rfam family "Eukaryotic large subunit ribosomal RNA", at positions 38 to 666 of the family's 3401-position model. Lineage: Eukaryota; Fungi. The record is from RNAcentral.